This 386-nucleotide ribosomal RNA is filed under the name uncultured bacterium. RNAcentral describes it as "bacterial SSU rRNA". It matches the Rfam family "Bacterial small subunit ribosomal RNA", at positions 28 to 412 of the family's 1533-position model. The record is from RNAcentral.
GAUUAACGCUAGCGGCAGGCCUAAUACAUGCAAGUCGCACGGGAUUUCGGGUAGCAAUAUCUGAAUGAGAGUGGCGCACGGGUGCGUAACACGUAUGCAAUCUACCUUUAACUGGGGAAUAGCUCACCGAAAGGUGAAUUAAUACCGCAUAAAAUCACAGAAGGACAUCCUUCAAUGAUUAAACCCACGGGGGUUAAAGAUGAGCAUGCGUCCGAUUAGCAGUUGGCGGGGUAAUAGCCCACCAAGGCAACGAUCGGUAGGGGGUCUGAGAGGAUGAUCCCCCACACUGGUACUGAGAUACGGACCAGACUCCUACGGGAGGCAGCAGUAAGGAAUAUUGGACAAUGGGCGCAAGCCUGAUCCAGCCAUGCCGCGUGAAGGAUUAA